GGCAUGAGCCACCAUGCCUGGCCAGUUAUUCUAUUUUUUAUUUUUAAUUGUGGUAAAAUAUACAAUAUAAAAGUUACCAUCUUAACCAUUUUUAAGCAUAUAAUUUAGUAGAGUUAAAUAUGCUCAUAUUGCUGUGAACAAGACCUUCCAAACUUUUUCAUCUUGCAAAUCUGGUAUCUGUACCCAUUAAACAGCAGCUCCCCUUUACCUCUCCUUCAGCCCCUGGGAAUCACUGUUCUACACUGUUCUGUCACUAUGUAUUUGACUAUUCUAGAUCUUCAUAUAAUUGGAAUCAUAUAGUAUUUGUCUUGUUGUUCUCAGCUUAUUUCAGUUAGCAUAGUAUCCUCAAGGUUCAUCCAUGUUGUAGCAUGUGACAGGAUUUCUUUUUCUUUUAAGGCUGAAUAAUAUUCCAUCGUAUGGAUAUCCCACAUUUUGUUUAUUCAUCCACUGAUGAACAUUUGUGCUGUUUUUGCCCUUUGGCUUUUGGAGUGGCAUUGCUAUGGAUAUGGGUAUGCAAAUAUCUCCUUGAGGAACUGCUUUCAGUUCUUGUAUAUAUACCUAGAAGUGGGAUUGGAAAAUCAAAUGGUAGUUCUAUUUUUAAUUUUUUGAGGAACCUCCAUACUGGUUUCUGUCAUGGUUACACCAUUUUACAAUUCUACCAGCAGUGCAUAAAGAUUCUAAUUCUUCCACAUCCUCAUCCACACUUUUUUUUUUUGAGACAAGGUAUUGCUGUGUCACCCAGGCUGGA
This is a long non-coding RNA of Sapajus apella (tufted capuchin), 748 nucleotides long. RefSeq lists it as uncharacterized. Lineage: Eukaryota; Metazoa; Chordata; Mammalia; Primates; Cebidae. The transcript has 3 exons. The record is from RefSeq and is a predicted model, not a curated record.